This 256-nucleotide ribosomal RNA is filed under the name uncultured bacterium. Its description in RNAcentral is "partial 16S ribosomal RNA". It matches the Rfam family "Bacterial small subunit ribosomal RNA", at positions 524 to 776 of the family's 1533-position model. The record is from RNAcentral.
UACGAAGGGGGCUAGCGUUGCUCGGAAUUACUGGGCGUAAAGCGCACGUAGGCGGCUUUCUAAGUCGGGGGGUGAAAUCCUGGAGCUCAACUCCAGAGCUGCCUUCGAUACUGGAGAGCUUGAGUCCGGGGAGAGGUGAGUGGAACUGCGAGUGUAGAGGUGAAAUUCGUAGAUAUUCGCAAGAACACCGGUGGCGAAGGCGGCCAACUGGACCAUUACUGACGCCCAGGCGCGAUAGCGUGGGGGAUCAAACAGG